CUGAACUACACGAUUACUGAAUACACGAAAGGGGACUGUUCAUUUUCCUUCCCUCUUGCUCUAAGCUUAAACUCAUGGUGUUAGGGGUUUUCCAUGAUCUGGCUGGGUGUCCCACAUGGGAUACAGUGGAGGCAGGGUUCCCUUGUCCGUC
Lutra lutra (Eurasian river otter) is the source of this 151-nucleotide long non-coding RNA. RefSeq lists it as uncharacterized. Lineage: Eukaryota; Metazoa; Chordata; Mammalia; Carnivora; Mustelidae. The record is from RefSeq and is a predicted model, not a curated record. The transcript has 3 exons.